RNAcentral lists this microRNA precursor (62 nucleotides) under Rattus norvegicus (Norway rat). Its description in RNAcentral is "Rno-Mir-181-P2c_pre stem-loop". The record is from RNAcentral. Lineage: Eukaryota; Metazoa; Chordata; Mammalia; Rodentia; Muridae.
AACAUUCAUUGUUGUCGGUGGGUUGUGAGGAGAAGACCAGACCCACCGGGGGAUGAAUGUCA